RNAcentral lists this unclassified non-coding RNA (256 nucleotides) under uncultured Parcubacteria group bacterium. RNAcentral describes it as "contains 16S-23S intergenic spacer region". It matches the Rfam family "Bacterial small subunit ribosomal RNA", at positions 524 to 776 of the family's 1533-position model. The record is from RNAcentral.
UACAGAGACCUCAAGCGUUAUCCGGAAUCAUUGGGCGUAAAGCGUUCCGACAGGUGGUCACGCAAGUGUCUGGUUAAAUUUAGGGGCUCAACCCUUAAACCGCUGGGCAUACUGCGAGACUAGAGGAACAAAGAGGAAGCUGGAACCAGCGGUGUAGCAGUGAAAUGCGUUGAUAUCGCUGGGAACACCGAUAGCGAAGGCAGGCUUCUGGGUGUUUCCUGACACUUCUAGGACGAAAGCGUGGGGAGCGAAUGGG